UCUAUGAUACUUUUCAGGCUUCAAACAUCCUGUGGAAUCUCAACCAUCAAAAUUGGAAAGGUUAGCUAGAAAACUAGAAGAGUUACAUGAAUUCAUGAUGAAUUGCAAAUGCCUUGAAUGACAGAGUCUGGACAAAAUAACUGACUAACCUUGAGUAAUGGAUUCAGUCCAACAAAGGUGUUUCUGUUACAAGAAAGAUAGUGACAAAGAGUCAAAAGAGUCUCCAAAGACUUCCUUUGGGUUCAAUUGAUGUUAUUGAGACUCAACAAUGUCAUUAAGAGCCUUGCUUCUUUCCUGCCCUCUCCAUAGUGUCACCUUCAUCCAAAGGUCAAUCCCCAUUAAAGUCUCAAUAGUUCCUAGUACUUCUGCAGCUACAUAUCCAGCAAUACAUCCAGGAAGAGAGAAGUUGGGUCUCCUCCAGAAACACUCAGAAGGCAAAGAAGCAUUCAGUAAUCAUUGACAUUAUAUUGGCCCAAACUGGAUUACAUGUCUCCAUACCCAGUGCUAGCUACAUUGUCUGAAGACCUCAGUGCAUUCAUGAAAAUGAAGUUCAAAAAUCAGCUUUAAAAAACUACAUUAAAUGUGGUAAAAUAUAAAGCUUUUCAUUUUUCCUCUUACUUGACCUCUCAUAGUGUUUCAUAUUUACUAUUUAAUGUUAUUCUAAGUAAAUAAAAAUUUGAAUUAUUAGCAAA
Bubalus bubalis (water buffalo) is the source of this 692-nucleotide long non-coding RNA. RefSeq lists it as uncharacterized. The record is from RefSeq and is a predicted model, not a curated record. Lineage: Eukaryota; Metazoa; Chordata; Mammalia; Artiodactyla; Bovidae. The transcript is spliced from 4 exons.